GACAGAGGUGCCAAGCGUUAGGCGGAAUCACUGGGCUUAAAGCGUGUGUAGGCGGAUCGUUAAGUACCUUGUGAAAUCCCACGGCUCAACCGUGGAACUGCUGGGUAUACUGGCGGUCUUGAGCCACCUAGGGGCAACUGGAACAAGCGGUGGAGCGGUGAAAUGCGUAGAUAUCGCUUGGAACGCCAACGGUGAAAACAGGUUGCUGGGGGUGUGCUGACGCUGAGGCGCGAAAGCUAGGGGAGCAAACAGG
This 253-nucleotide ribosomal RNA is filed under the name uncultured bacterium. RNAcentral's name for it is "partial 16S ribosomal RNA". It matches the Rfam family "Bacterial small subunit ribosomal RNA", at positions 524 to 776 of the family's 1533-position model. The record is from RNAcentral.